UGCAAUUCUGAUGGCAGUACUCUUGGUCGUGUUGUCGUCUGCUUUAGUCUGGCCAUAAUCUUCAUCCUCAGAUCAGUAGAUGCAUCUGUCAU
This is a long non-coding RNA of Thalassophryne amazonica, 92 nucleotides long. RefSeq lists it as uncharacterized. The record is from RefSeq and is a predicted model, not a curated record. The transcript has 3 exons. NCBI's taxonomy places the organism in Eukaryota, Metazoa, Chordata, Actinopteri, Batrachoidiformes, Batrachoididae.